RNAcentral lists this ribosomal RNA (493 nucleotides) under uncultured bacterium. RNAcentral describes it as "partial 16S ribosomal RNA". It matches the Rfam family "Bacterial small subunit ribosomal RNA", at positions 27 to 507 of the family's 1533-position model. The record is from RNAcentral.
GAGUGAACGCUGGCGGUAGGCCUAACACAUGCAAGUCGAACGGCAGCACAGUAAGAGCUUGCUCUUACGGGUGGCGAGUGGCGGACGAGUGAGGAAUACAUCGGAAUCUACUUUUUCGUGGGGGAUAACGUAGGGAAACUUACGCUAAUACCGCAUACGACCUACGGGUGAAAGCAGGGGAUCUUCGGACCUUGCGCGAUUGAAUGAGCCGAUGUCGGAUUAGCUAGUUGGCGGGGUAAAGGCCCACCAAGGCGACGAUCCGUAGCUGGUCUGAGAGGAUGAUCAGCCACACUGGAACUGAGACACGGUCCAGACUCCUACGGGAGGCAGCAGUGGGGAAUAUUGGACAAUGGGCGCAAGCCUGAUCCAGCCAUACCGCGUGGGUGAAGAAGGCCUUCGGGUUGUAAAGCCCUUUUGUUGGGAAAGAAAAGCAGCAGGUUAAUACCCCGCUGUUCUGACGGUACCCAAAGAAUAAGCACCGGCUAACUUCGUG